Molecule: ribosomal RNA, 497 nt
Filed under: uncultured bacterium
Lineage: Bacteria
Description: partial 16S ribosomal RNA
Rfam family: Bacterial small subunit ribosomal RNA
Source: RNAcentral
GAUGAACGCUGGCGGCGUGCCUAAUACAUGCAAGUCGAGCGAACGGACGAGAAGCUUGCUUUUCUGAUGUUAGCGGCGGACGGGUGAGUAACACGUGGAUAACCUACCUAUAAGACUGGGAUAACUUCGGGAAACCGGAGCUAAUACCGGAUAAUAUUUUGAACCGCAUGGUUCAAAAGUGAAAGACGGUCUUGCUGUCACUUAUAGAUGGAUCCGCGCUGCAUUAGCUAGUUGGUAAGGUAACGGCUUACCAAGGCAACGAUGCAUAGCCGACCUGAGAGGGUGAUCGGCCACACUGGAACUGAGACACGGUCCAGACUCCUACGGGAGGCAGCAGUAGGGAAUCUUCCGCAAUGGGCGAAAGCCUGACGGGGCAACGCCGCGUGAGUGAUGAAGGUCUUCGGAUCGUAAAACUCUGUUAUUAGGGAAGAACAUAUGUGUAAGUAACUGUGCACAUCUUGACGGUACCUAAUCAGAAAGCCACGGCUAACUACGUG